CGAAUUCCAAGCUUAGAGUUUGAUCCUGGCUCAGAUUGAACGCUGGCGGCAUGCUUUACACAUGCAAGUCGAACGGCAGCGGGGGCUUCGGCCUGCCGGCGAGUGGCGAACGGGUGAGUAAUACAUCGGAACGUGUCCUUAAGUGGGGAAUAACGCAUCGAAAGAUGUGCUAAUACCGCAUAUCUCUGAGGAGAAAAGCAGGGGAUCGCAAGACCUUGCGCUAAAGGAGCGGCCGAUGUCUGAUUAGCUAGUUGGUGGGGUAAAGGCUUACCAAGGCAACGAUCAGUAGUUGGUCUGAGAGGACGACCAACCACACUGGGACUGAGACACGGCCCAGACUCCUACGGGAGGCAGCAGUGGGGAAUUUUGGACAAUGGGCGAAAGCCUGAUCCAGCCAUGCCGCGUGAGUGAAGAAGGCCUUCGGGUUGUAAAGCUCUUUUAGUCGGAAAGAAAGAAUCAUGAUGAAUAAUUAUGAUUUAUGACGGUACCGACAGAAAAAGCACCGGCUAACUACGUGCCAGCAGCCGCGGUAAUACGUAGGGUGCGAGCGUUAAUCGGAAUUACUGGGCGUAAAGGGUGCGCAGGCGGUUUUGUAAGUCAGAUGUGAAAGCCCCGGGCUUAACCUGGGAAUUGCGUUUGAAACUACAAGGCUAGAGUGCAGCAGAGGGGAGUGGAAUUCCAUGUGUAGCAGUGAAAUGCGUAGAGAUGUGGAAGAACACCGAUGGCGAAGGCAGCUCCCUGGGUUGACACUGACGCUCAUGCACGAAAGCGUGGGGAGCAAACAGGAUUAGAUACCCUGGUAGUCCACGCCCUAAACGAUGUCAACUGGUUGUCGGAUCUAAUUAAGGAUUUGGUAACGUAGCUAACGCGUGAAGUUGACCGCCUGGGGAGUACGGUCGCAAGAUUAAAACUCAAAGGAUUGACGGGACCCGCACAAGCGGUGGAUUAUGUGGAUAAUUCGAUGCACGCGAAAACCUUACCUACCCUUGACAUGCUUGGAAUCUAGUGGAGAAAAAGAGGGCCCGAAAGA
This 1030-nucleotide ribosomal RNA is filed under the name uncultured Nitrosomonas sp. RNAcentral describes it as "bacterial SSU rRNA". It matches the Rfam family "Bacterial small subunit ribosomal RNA", at positions 1 to 1025 of the family's 1533-position model. Lineage: Bacteria; Pseudomonadati; Pseudomonadota; Betaproteobacteria; Nitrosomonadales; Nitrosomonadaceae. The record is from RNAcentral.